This 503-nucleotide ribosomal RNA is filed under the name uncultured bacterium. RNAcentral describes it as "partial 16S ribosomal RNA". It matches the Rfam family "Bacterial small subunit ribosomal RNA", at positions 30 to 523 of the family's 1533-position model. The record is from RNAcentral.
AUUGAACGCUGGCGGCAGGCCUAACACAUGCAAGUCGAGCGGUAACAGAGAGAAGCUUGCUUCUCUGCUGACGAGCGGCGGACGGGUGAGUAAUGCGUAUGCAACCUACCUUUAACAGGGGGAUAACGGAGAGAAAUUUCCACUAAUACCCCAUAACAUCGAUCAAGGCAUCUUGAUUGGUUGAAAACUCCGGUGGUUAAAGAUGGGCAUGCGUUGUAUUUGGUAGUUGGUGAGGUAAUGGCUCACCAAGCCUACGAUACAUAGGGGGACUGAGAGGUUAGCCCCCCACACUGGUACUGAGACACGGACCAGACUCCUACGGGAGGCAGCAGUGAGGAAUAUUGGUCAAUGGGGGCAACCCUGAACCAGCCAUGCCGCGUGCAGGAAGACGGCUCUAUGAGUUGUAAACUGCUUUUAAACAGGGAUAAAGCACAGUAUGUAUACUGUGUUGAAGGUACUGUAAGAAUAAGGAUCGGCUAACUCCGUGCCAGCCGCCGCCGUAA